ACCUGCGGAAGGAUCAUUAUCGAGUUCAGAAGCGAGGUUGUAGCUGGCCUUCUCGGAGGCAUCGUGCACGCCCUGCCCGUCCCAUAUCAUACCUGUGAACUUUUUGGUAGGCGGGUUUGUGUCGGCCUCGAAAGGGGUCGACCGGCCCUCCGGCCGUCUUUAUAUACACACCAUACGAGUCUUUAGAAUGUUUGUGCGUCUCGACGCAUCUUAUAUAUAACUUUCAGCGACGGAUCUCUUGGCUCUCGCAUCGAUGAAGAACGCAGCGAAACGCGAUAAGUAAUGUGAAUUGCAGAAUUCAGUGAAUCAUCGAAUCUUUGAACGCACCUUGCGCUCCUCGGUAUUCCGAGGAGCAUGCCUGUUUGAGUGUCAUGAAAUUAUCAAUCCCUCCUCCUUCAUCGGCGGUGGGGCUUGGACUUGGAGGCUUUGCGGGCUUUUAACGAGUCGGCUCCUCUCAAAUGCAUUAGCUCGAACCCCUGCGGAUCGGCCUUCGGUGUGAUAUAAUGUCUACGUCGUGGUCGUGAGCGUCGGAUCGGCUUCUAAUGGUCCCCUUUCGGAGGCGGAAUUUGAACUUGUGACCUCAAAUCAGGUAGGACUACCCGCUGAACUUAAGCAUAUC
This 619-nucleotide ribosomal RNA is filed under the name Sparassis latifolia. Its description in RNAcentral is "eukaryotic LSU rRNA". The stretch from base 219 to 372 matches the Rfam family "5.8S ribosomal RNA". The record is from RNAcentral. Lineage: Eukaryota; Fungi; Basidiomycota; Agaricomycetes; Polyporales; Sparassidaceae.